GAGCAAGAAGCGAAUUAUUGCUAUCGGUUUCGACCCGAUGAUUGGUCUUUUGACCCUUUCUCU
RNAcentral lists this transfer RNA (63 nucleotides) under Balanus trigonus. RNAcentral's name for it is "tRNA-Arg". The record is from RNAcentral. Lineage: Eukaryota; Metazoa; Arthropoda; Thecostraca; Balanomorpha; Balanidae.